CACCGCGGUUAUACGAGAGACCCAAGUUGACAAAUUCCGGCGUAAAGCGUGGUUAGGAAGUACUUAAACUAAAGUCGAACACCUUCAAAGCUGUUAUACGCACCCGAAGGCCUGAAGAACAUACACGAAAGUAACUUUACAAACUCUGAAGCCACGAAAGCUAAGAUA
RNAcentral lists this ribosomal RNA (168 nucleotides) under Brotula sp. CBM:ZF:15565. RNAcentral's name for it is "partial 12S rRNA". The record is from RNAcentral. Lineage: Eukaryota; Metazoa; Chordata; Actinopteri; Ophidiiformes; Ophidiidae.